GAGCCUGGUCCCGGAGACCUGCAGUGAGGAACGCGUCGGUGCCACGGGUGCAGGAGGCUCUUCUUCCCAGACUCGUCCGUAAGGAGUCUGGUUCGCGCCACCUAAGGAGUCUGGUUCGCGCCACCUGUCAAGCAAACCCCAAUUCUCGUCAAAGUCUCGCCCCUCUCCUCUGAGUCACAGGGAGGCGCCUUUCCCAGGGGCCUGCAGCAAGGUAUGGAGGACCAGGUUCCGGCCCAGAGGCUGUGCAGGGGCGGGGCCACCGAGGCCAGAACAGGUGAUAUCCAUGUAGAUGUGCAGCAGACCUAGAGUGAAACCAGUAAAGCUUGGAGCAAUUGGACAGAGCUCUGGAAGGCAAAGAGUGAUAAAUGGCAUGUUGGAAAGGAUUUACUGCAAAGACCCACAUUUCCCAGUGCGACUUAGAUCACGGUUUACCAUGGGUAACUGAAAACUUGGAAGGCAAAAGCGCACGAUUCCCUCUUUCUUGGAGGAAGUCAGUCUUUCCUGUGAUUAGACCUUCAACUGAUUGGAAGAGGGUCACCCACAUUAUGGAAGACAAUCUCCUUUACUCAAAGUCCACCAUCAACUUGAAUGUUAAUCUCAUCUAUAAACACCCUCAUAGAAACAUCCAGAACAAUGUUUGACCAUAUUUCUGGGCACUGUGGCCCAGCUGAGUUGACACAUAAAAUUAACCAUCACCCUCCUCCUUAAGUAUGUCUCCUGAAAAUUGGCUGACCACAAAGAAAGACAUGCCGUGAUCACCUGUGGAUCUCGGUUCUUUGUAGCCUUGUUUUCUCCUUCCCGUAAAAGAAAAGUCAUUUUCUGCCUGACUUGGAGAACUUUACAGAUCUUAUGACCACAGCAUUCCCCUUAUUGCAAUUGUCCCUCUGCCCCUAUUGCAGCAGUCUUUUGGAACAAAAUCUCUCAUUCUCUAAGUCCACGUAUGCUUUUUAUUUGCCAAUCUCAUGUAGCACAGAAAAACUUGUGAAUUCCAAAUUAAAGGCAGGAUUAUGAUUCCGUUUUAUUUUGAUGAUCCCUGAAUAUGCUCCCAAAGUAGGUAGCUCCUUUAUUGAUUAAAUACAAUUGC
RNAcentral lists this long non-coding RNA (1084 nucleotides) under Equus asinus (donkey). RNAcentral describes it as "lncRNA (ENSEASG00005036360.1)". The record is from RNAcentral. Lineage: Eukaryota; Metazoa; Chordata; Mammalia; Perissodactyla; Equidae.